RNAcentral lists this ribosomal RNA (253 nucleotides) under uncultured bacterium. Its description in RNAcentral is "partial 16S ribosomal RNA". It matches the Rfam family "Bacterial small subunit ribosomal RNA", at positions 524 to 776 of the family's 1533-position model. The record is from RNAcentral.
UACGUAGGGGGCAAGCGUUGUCCGGAUUUAUUGGGCGUAAAGAGCGUGUAGGCGGCCAGACAGGUCCGUUGUGAAAACUCGAGGCUCAACCUCGAGACGUCGAUGGAAACCGUUUGGCUAGAGUCCGGAAGAGGAGAGUGGAAUUCCUGGUGUAGCGGUGAAAUGCGCAGAUAUCAGGAGGAACACCGGUGGCGAAGGCGGGACUCUGGGCCGAUACUGACGCUGAGGAGCGAAAGCGUGGGGAGCGAACAGG